GUAGGUGGCAAGCGUUGUCCGGAAUUAUUGGGCGUAAAGCGCGCGCAGGCGGCCCUUUAAGUCUGAUGUGAAAGCCCACGGCUCAACCGUGGAGGGUCAUUGGAAACUGGGGGACUUGAGUACAGAAGAGGAAAGCGGAAUUCCAAGUGUAGCGGUGAAAUGCGUAGAGAUUUGGAGGAACACCAGUGGCGAAGGCGGCUUUCUGGUCUGUAACUGACGCUGAGGCGCGAAAGCGUGGGGAGCAAACAGGGAUUAGAUACCCUGGUAGUCCACGCCGUAAACGAUGAGUGCUAAGUGUUAGGGGGUUUCCCGCCCCUUAGUGCUGCAGCUAACGCAUUAAGCACUCCGCCUGGGGAGUACGCCGCAAGGCUG
This 372-nucleotide ribosomal RNA is filed under the name uncultured organism. RNAcentral describes it as "partial 16S ribosomal RNA". It matches the Rfam family "Bacterial small subunit ribosomal RNA", at positions 527 to 896 of the family's 1533-position model. The record is from RNAcentral.